UAAUGGAUAUCAGUAAUGACUAAUACGACAAGAUGUAAAUUAGACAAAGAGGAAUUAGAGACCAACACAAGCAUUUGUGAGGGAUGUAAUAAUGACAGUGCGAAUGAACCCUCUCGUGAAGACCGUCGACAAUUAAUGCUUCAAUAUUCUUUUAUUAUUUUUGGCUUAUUAUCUAUACCCCUCAUGUUAAUUAAUGAUUGGCUAGGCUGGAUUGAUAUUAAGAGAGAAUGGUCAACAUACUUUUUUGGUUAUAUUGUGCUGU
Molecule: unclassified non-coding RNA, 262 nt
Filed under: Moritella viscosa
Lineage: Bacteria; Pseudomonadati; Pseudomonadota; Gammaproteobacteria; Alteromonadales; Moritellaceae
Description: putative sRNA
Source: RNAcentral